AAAACUAGGGCUCAAUCUGAUAAAUGAAUCACCGCAAAUGUUCCCUGGAGAAACACAAGUUUGGUUUCAGCUACUUCCCACAAAUGCUUUGAAAGAACACAGAGAAUCCACAGCCCAAAAUGUCACAGAGCACAAGAAAAUUGCUGAGUGAGAACCACUGGGCUGUGCAGCCACAGCCAUAGCUGGAAAACUGCAGCACUGGUAUUAUCAGGCUGGAAAUAGUUACAUCUUAUGUGUUUAAAGAAAUAAAAAAGAAACAAAGUAACAACCACCAGAGAGCAAGAGACUGAAAGAGACCCCUCCCCUCAAAAAAAUCCUUCUAGGAAUGAAAACUAUGAAAAUUUCCUAUUUUAAUUCAUGUAAUAUGUCCAUUGCUAUGUAUGAUGUUGUGCUAUAAUAAGGAAUCUACAUUUGAGGCAUAAAUUAUCCAGGGGCCUGUGCCUGGGAGGGGUCUGGGAGCUGGAACUUGGGAGGCCCAGAGUAACUUCUUUUUUUUUUUUUAAAGAGAGAGUAAGGGAGGGAGAGAAUUUUUUUAAUAUUUAUUUUUUAGUUUUUCGGCGGACACAACAUCUUUGUUUGUAUGUGGUGCUGAGGAUCAAACCUGGGCCGCACGCAUGCCAUGCGAGCGCGCUACCGCUUGAGCCACAUCCCCAGCCCAUAGAGCAACGUCUUUUAAGAAGCCAGCAUUCCCAGUAAUCACCACCAGCACCAGAUGAUGUGUCUUCCCAGCAGCAGAGCUGCCCAUUGACACUGGAGAGAGGUCCAAGAAGUCCCCCAGAAGGGAGAAGGGGAUCUCACCUCACCCUGGAAGGAAUUUCAGGAAGUGUCAAAGAGGCAUUAAAAAGGAUUUUUUAAAAAAGGAAAGCAGAUUUCUUCAGGAAAGCAUCAGUAGAGCGGGACACACACUCAGAAGGAGUGAACUGUGCUUUGGGGUCUUGGGCUCUUUCUUUUAGAGGAAAUAUGGUAAACAAUGCCAUGAGAAUUAUGUGGGAGAGACAUCCUCCAGCGGGCUCAGCUCUCCUAUUGAUGGACUGGGGUCUGGUCUUUCAGGGAGUCUGGGUUAGGUCAUCUAGUUAAUAGAUGAUGUUUGGCAUACACCUGGAUCAUAAGUCUUUAACAGCAUUUUCCCUUAGCUUUAUUUAGUCUGAAAAAAGUGCUUGUGUAAGCCAGCAAUGUAUGUAAGCAUGAAUCAUCUAGACUCGAUACUCUAAGAUGCUUGGCUUUUUAAGAAUUUAGGAAUUUAUGUUAAGGAAAACAGGCAUGGAAAGUAAAGGUGAGGGUGUUUAAGGAGCUUCUUAGAGUAAAAGUUGCAGUUUCAUGGUUUGGUCCUGUGAGCAGCUGGGACACUUCUCCAGGUCCAUGGUGGCCUCCAGGUUGCACUGUCCUGACAUCCAACACCAGAGGCCAGCUCUGCCUGCUCACCUACCAAGCAGGACUUAAGAUGAAUGUAUAGCUCACCGAUUAAGCAGGACUCCAUGAAUGUGCUGCUUUGAUGCUUUAGGAUGUCUGAUUACACCAUAAUUGCAAACAUUGGUCCUAAAGAUGAGUCUGAAUUCUACAAGCCCCAAGAGAGUGCACUUUCCUAUCUCACAAGCCAAGAUAGAUAAGUAAUUCAGCUUUGUCUUUUAGCCCAUGUUCAACACCUCGCUGCUCUUCACACAGUGUGAGCUGAAGUUGUGCACCAACAAGGAGAAGGACCUCCAGAAGCCACCAGGCCUGUGUCUCCCAACAAAGCCUGUACCUCAACGGAUGCCUUCAUGAUUUGGGCCAUGACGCAGAAUAAAAAGAUGUUCGUGCCAGGUGUGGUGAUGCACGCCUGUAAUCCCAGCUGAGGCAGGAGGAUGGUGAAUUCAAAGCCAGACUCAGCAAUUUAGCAGAACCCUGUCUCAAAAUAAAAC
This 1898-nucleotide long non-coding RNA is filed under the name Marmota monax (woodchuck). The record is from RNAcentral. Lineage: Eukaryota; Metazoa; Chordata; Mammalia; Rodentia; Sciuridae.